GUUCUUCCGCCAGCGCCCAUCGUGAAGACCACAGUUUCCUGUCGCGUGGAUGUGUUUCCUCUCUGGCCAUUGCCAUCCGCCCAAAUCUACAGACAUCCCGCAUGUUCCCGGGCUCGUCUCCCCAAUACAGGGCACCAAGGCUGUAGACUGCGCAGCCCUCCUGGAGACAGAUGGAAGCUCCUUGGGUCGACAGAUUACAGCUUCUGGAACCCCCUACUCCCUUCAACUCCGAGAUGGACACCCACUGUCCAGGGAGAGGAUGCCUGGAAAUAACAGCUGGGAUCUACAGUGGCCAAAGAGUUGUCUCCGUCUUGCUACAUCGACAAACUGGUGCUCCUGAGUGAGGAUUGUGCCCUGGGAUGGGGGAUUCAGUUUCUUCAUUUAUAGUUGGAAGUGGGUGAAGUGCCAGGAGCGACGGUACACUCCAGAGUGCUGUGCCCUGAUGGGCCUUUGAGUGGCCAGUGCAGUGGAUCAUCAGCCCUGUCUCCCAAGAGCUCCAGUCCCUUCUCCGGAGAGGAAGUGGGUCCACUGGCAGCUCAGGAGGCCAUAGCAGCCUUACGGAAGUGUGGGUGGCGCUUUCUGGAAGCUGCACAAGUCAGUGCUGGGUCUUCGCAACUUGGUGUUCUGUUUCCAGAAACUUGGGGUGUUUGCAUGUGCUAGGUCAGCACAGAUUUCCAAAGGAUCUCUAGGAUUGUCACGUGUGCUCAACAGUCCUCCUCGGCUUUCCAGAAGAGGCUGGAACAGGGCCCUUGAAGAUGUUUGUGGACAUCAGAGGGCCAAAGACGACACAAAGUGAAACUGGAGACACCGCCCCCCCUUGGCAUCAUGAAACUGCCGAUGUUACUGGCUCAUGCAUGGGAGACACCAGCAUACAAAGUCUUGACACCAACACCUCAGAGGGCUGUGUUCUGUCCCCGUGACCAUCAUCUAGUGCCUGGAAAGACUAGUGACAAGAACUUGUUGCCAACUUCCUAUUACCUCCCUAACAGUUGUGCAAUAAACCCCAUAGGUUAAUUCAGUCUGCCUUUUAAA
This 1032-nucleotide long non-coding RNA is filed under the name Mus musculus (house mouse). RNAcentral describes it as "small nucleolar RNA host gene 17". The record is from RNAcentral. Lineage: Eukaryota; Metazoa; Chordata; Mammalia; Rodentia; Muridae.